RNAcentral lists this non-coding RNA (141 nucleotides) under Thalassionema frauenfeldii. Lineage: Eukaryota; Bacillariophyta; Fragilariophyceae; Thalassionematales; Thalassionemataceae. The record is from RNAcentral.
CAACAUGCUGAAAGUAUUUUUCCGAAAAAGGCGUUCACAAGGUAGGCGAGACGAAAAGAGAAAGAAAAGAUAGAUCACAUAUAUAUUCUUGUAAUAUACUUGUACAAUUUUGUACAUUUUGCCAUGUUUUGUACCUUCCAA